UGUUGAGAAAACCCCUAAAACCUUUCGCCUUCUUCAAUUUCGCCGCCGCUGCUGACCAUCACUUCUGAUCCGGAGUCCGACUCUGAUUCCGCGUUUUCUUACACCUCAUCGGAGGAAGUGGAACGAGACGAGAAGAAGGUGUAUCUCUCUCUCUCUCUCUCCGUUCUCCCAACAAGAUAUCCGUCGUCUCCCCCGCUCCCAAUCAUCCUCCACCUCCUCCCGUCUCCUCCAAUAACGACGAACGCGAGGGCGAAGAGGACAGCGAAUAUGACGGGUCCAGUGAUGAAGAAUUUGAUGAAGGAGAGACGGCCUAGCUGGAAAUGAAGCGGCAGCCACAUAACUUGUCAGAUCAUGAUUCCUCCGACUUGGGAAGAUCUAUUUAAUUUUUAUGUUAUGUUUAAAAUAUUCACAUAAGACAGGAGUUGAUUCUUGUUUCCGUAGCAAGAACAAAGUGACCUUGUUAAUUCCUAGGAGUUGAUGCAUCAUCAACAUUCAGAAUCCUUGUUUUCUAACGUUGUUCAUGCUUAUAAUUGAUUUAUGGUUCUCUUCUAUAAUAUUUGGUGCAUUGCUUUGUAUUACCGAAUCCCUUCUUUAUGCUACCUAGACUUGAUUUACAUGCAACUAAAUUAUUUCUAGUAGAUGAAAUUAUCACCAAACGGAUAAGAUAUUUUCUAGUAAAUUUUGAUAUUAUUUUUGUGAUAACUUAAAGUUUUUAGACUGCAUUUAAAUUUUAUCCUAUGCUUAGAGAAAUUUGUAUAAAUAAUUGGUUAUCAUGAUAAAUUACUACAGCAACCACUGUUAAAGUUGGGUAUUAGUAUUGAAGAUGGGUUCAUCAAUGUCUGUAUCUAAUUCAUGGAUUAUGUGUUCCUAGAGAUAGAGAAGGUUCAAUCUUUCUCUUUUGAUAUAGGAUUUGGCGAUGAUAAAAAAAAAAAUGUAUGACUCUCUUGACUUUUUCAAUUUCAAAGUAAUAUUUUCUCGUUGAUAUGCAGAUACCUAUUCAUAUUUACUCUAGGAGUUUGACCUGAUGUUGGUGUCAUUAUUCCAGAGCUUAGUAGUUUGCAAACUCGUUCAGAAGUAAUGGGCUUUAGCUUCUUAGUACACUGGGUUUUCUUUCAACAGAUAAUGAUGGGCACGGUGCAUCACUCUCACUCUCACAAGGACAUAUUGCUGAUUGCUUGCUUUGAUCUCAUUCAAUUUUUGCAAUGAACUGGAUUUAUAUCCCAAGAAUAAACGAUGGGCUUGCUCAAUUCUUAGCAAAUUUUAUUAGAGAAACAGAGGCACGAUAUUUUGGAAAAGAAUGUUGGCAUCACACUGAAUAGGCACGGAGAAAAGUUUAUUAGGAUUUUGGCGAACUCCUUUGUUUUGCAACCUUGUUUGUGUAUGCUUCUUCCUCGUGGAUCUCGCCUGAAGGAAGCACGUUGCAAUGUACGGUUCUUAGGAGAAGAAUAAUUACAGUCAGAAGUGCACCUCAUUUAAGAUAUUAUGGAGUUGAGAAGACGACAUGUCACUGCUCAAUGCUGGGUGGAGCACCAUAGCGAGAAUGACACUGUGCCUUGCUCGCCAAUGAUUUGGAUGGCGUUUGUCAUCUCAUCAAGAGUUCCUUUCACUUGGAGUUCAGUAACAAGCCACUCGAUGUCAUGAUGCAUCCACCCAUUUGAGGCGGCUGGGAGAAUUAUGAAGGUCAAAUCACCAACACGAAUAUCCUGGGGAAAAAAAAAUCUCGGAACUCAUACAAGCGUGCAUAUUUUUCAGAAUGGGUGUCUUACUCUUCAAGAUAUUUUUAUCUUAGAGUUGAUUUUGUUAGCCGCCGAGAUGAGACUUUGCUGACAACAACAGCCCGAUCCUGGCGUGGCGAUAUGCCCCAGUGCCGUUUGUUCUCAAUCGUCCAAAAUAAAAAAACGUGCCAAUGAAGUCCUGAAAGUCAGUCAAUCACGUUGUUGACGACUUCUAAAAUAUUUCUAAAUCACUAUGCCUCAUGCUCAGUGUUUCAAGAUAAGUUCAACAUCCUCAAUGACCGCUAAUAUUUUACUAUAAUCCAGCUGAUGCUUUGCAAAUCGUAUCUCAUAGAUCAAGAAACGUGCAGUAGGAUUAAUUUCUAAAGUUACAUCAUCAAAUAAGAGACUGCACACCAAACUUGAAGAACAAUCCAACGUGAUGAUGGCUCGAGACCUAAUAUCUUGAAUAAGGUUUAUCAUUGGGUCAAGACUGGAUUUCUUUUUAGUUUAUAAAAGUUAUUUUUUUUUAACUAAAAAGCAAAAAUGGUUUUGUCUUAUUUGGUUGAACUAUGGAUCCAGUUCUAUUUGAUCUGUGUCAUCCUCCAUUAUCUGAAGAGUGAAUCAUUAUUGA
Long non-coding RNA from Zingiber officinale, 2346 nucleotides. RefSeq lists it as uncharacterized. NCBI's taxonomy places the organism in Eukaryota, Viridiplantae, Streptophyta, Magnoliopsida, Zingiberales, Zingiberaceae. The transcript is spliced from 4 exons. The record is from RefSeq and is a predicted model, not a curated record.